RNAcentral lists this ribosomal RNA (497 nucleotides) under uncultured bacterium. RNAcentral's name for it is "partial 16S ribosomal RNA". It matches the Rfam family "Bacterial small subunit ribosomal RNA", at positions 28 to 507 of the family's 1533-position model. The record is from RNAcentral.
GAUGAACGCUGGCGGCGUGCCUAAUACAUGCAAGUCGAGCGAACAGACGAGGAGCUUGCUCCUCUGACGUUAGCGGAGGACGGGAGAGUAACACGUGGAUAACCUAACUAUAAGACUGGGAUAAUAACGGGAAACCGGAGCUAAUACCGGAUAAUUUAUUGAACUGAAAGGUUCAAUAGUCAAAGACGGUUUUGAUGUAACUUAUAGCUGGAUCCGCGCCGGAUUAGCAAGUUGGUAAGGUAACGGAUUAACAAGGCAACGAUGCGUAGCCGACCUGAGAGCGUGAUCCGCCACACUGUCACUGAGACACAGUCCAGACACUUACGCUAGGCCGCAGUACGGAAUCUUACGCGAUGGGCGAAAGCCUGACGGAGCGACGCCGCGUGAAUGCUGAAGGUCUCCGGCUCGUAAAACUCUGUUAUUAUGAGAAAACAAAUGUUUAAUCAACUGUGCACGUCUUGACGGUACCUGAAGAAAAAGCCCCGGCUAACUACGUG